GAUUCAGUAGCUCAGUAGGCAGAGCACCUGCCUUUUAAGCAGGGUGUCCGGAGUUCGAAUCUCCGCUGAAUCACCA
Molecule: transfer RNA, 76 nt
Filed under: Clostridiales bacterium
Lineage: Bacteria; Bacillati; Bacillota; Clostridia; Eubacteriales
Also listed under: 1 other name
Description: tRNA-Lys
Rfam family: tRNA
About the family: Transfer RNA (tRNA) molecules are approximately 80 nucleotides in length. Their secondary structure includes four short double-helical elements and three loops (D, anti-codon, and T loops).
Source: RNAcentral